GAUAGUGUGGCCGAGUGGUCUAUGGCGCUGGUUUUAGGCACCAGUCUCUCAGGAGGCAAGGGUUCGAAUCCCUUCACUGUCA
Molecule: transfer RNA, 82 nt
Filed under: Daphnia galeata
Lineage: Eukaryota; Metazoa; Arthropoda; Branchiopoda; Diplostraca; Daphniidae
Rfam family: tRNA
About the family: Transfer RNA (tRNA) molecules are approximately 80 nucleotides in length. Their secondary structure includes four short double-helical elements and three loops (D, anti-codon, and T loops). Further hydrogen bonds mediate the characteristic L-shaped molecular structure. tRNAs have two regions of fundamental functional importance: the anti-codon, which is responsible for specific mRNA codon recognition, and the 3' end, to which the tRNAs corresponding amino acid is attached (by aminoacyl-tRNA synthetases). tRNAs cope with the degeneracy of the genetic code in two manners: having more than one tRNA (with a specific anti-codon) for a particular amino acid; and 'wobble' base-pairing, i.e. permitting non-standard base-pairing at the 3rd anti-codon position.
Source: Rfam by way of RNAcentral